UAAAAAAAGGUAAGCUACUAAGAGCGAAUGGUGGAUGCCUUGACUGGUAAAGGCGAUGAAGGACGUACUAGACUGCGAUAAGCUACGGGGAGCUGUCAAGAAGCUUUGAUCCGUAGAUUUCCGAAUGGGGCAACCCAAUGUAUAGAGAUAUACAUUACCUAUAUAGGAGCGAACGAGGGGAAUUGAAACAUCUUAGUACCCUCAGGAAAAGAAAUCAAUAGAGAUUGCGUCAGUAGCGGCGAGCGAAAGCGCAAGAGGGCAAACCCAGUGCUUGCACUGGGGGUUGUAGGACUGCAAUGUGCAAGAGCUGAGUUUAGCAGAACAUUCUGGAAAGUAUAGCCAUAGAGGGUGAUAGUCCCGUAUGCGAAAAACAAAGCUUAGCUAGCAGUAUCCUGAGUAGGGCGGGACACGAGGAAUCCUGUCUGAAUCCGGGUCGACCACGAUCCAACCCUAAAUACUAAUACCAGAUCGAUAGUGCACAAGUACCGUGAGGGAAAGGUGAAAAGAACUGAGGUGAUCAGAGUGAAAUAGAACCUGAAACCAUUUGCUUACAAUCAUUCAGAGCACUAUGUAGCAAUACAGUGUGAUGGACUGCCUUUUGCAUAAUGAGCCUGCGAGUUGUGGUGUCUGGCAAGGUUAAGCAAACGCGAAGCCGUAGCGAAAGCGAGUCUGAAUAGGGCGCUUAGUCAGAUGCUGCAGACCCGAAACGAAGUGAUCUAUCCAUGAGCAAGUUGAAGCUAGUGUAAGAACUAGUGGAGGACUGAACCCAUAGGCGUUGAAAAGCCCCGGGAUGACUUGUGGAUAGGGGUGAAAGGCCAAUCAAACUUCGUGAUAGCUGGUUCUCUCCGAAAUAUAUUUAGGUAUAGCGUUGUGUCGUAAUAUAAGGGGGUAGAGCACUGAAUGGGCUAGGGCAUACACCAAUGUACCAAACCCUAUCAAACUCCGAAUACCUUAUAUGUAAUCACAGCAGUCAGGCGGCGAGUGAUAAAAUCCGUCGUCAAGAGGGAAACAACCCAGACUACCAGCUAAGGUCCCUAAAUCUUACUUAAGUGGAAAACGAUGUGAAGUUACUUAAACAACCAGGAGGUUGGCUUAGAAGCAGCCAUCCUUUAAAGAAAGCGUAAUAGCUCACUGGUCUAGUGAUUUUGCGCGGAAAAUAUAACGGGGCUAAAGUAAGUACCGAAGCUGUAGACUUGCACACAACUUAGAUUAUUUAAGUUUAGAAUAUGAGAAACUAAGUUAUAUGUUUAGUUAUAUUUUUACUGAUUUUUAUAGAGUAAAGAUAGAAAUAAAACUUAGUAAAAUCAGUAAAAAUAUUCUUAGGCUAAAGUUAAGUAGUUUAAGUUGUGUGCAAGUGGUAGGAGAGCGUUCUAUUUGCGUCGAAGGUAUACCGGUAAGGAGUGCUGGAGCGAAUAGAAGUGAGCAUGCAGGCAUGAGUAGCGAUAAUUAAUGUGAGAAUCAUUAACGCCGUAAACCCAAGGUUUCCUACGCGAUGCUCGUCAUCGUAGGGUUAGUCGGGUCCUAAGUCGAGUCCGAAAGGGGUAGACGAUGGCAAAUUGGUUAAUAUUCCAAUACCAACAUUAGUGUGCGAUGGAAGGACGCUUAGGGCUAAGGGGGCUAGCGGAUGGAAGUGCUAGUCUAAGGUUGUAGGAGGUUAUACAGGCAAAUCCGUAUAACAAUACUCCGAGAACUGAAAGGCUUUUUGAAGUCUUCGGAUGGAUAGAAGAACCCCUGAUGCCGUCGAGCCAAGAAAAGUUUCUAAGUUUAGCUAAUGUUGCCCGUACCGUAAACCGACACAGGUGGGUGGGAUGAGUAUUCUAAGGCGCGUGGAAGAACUCUCUUUAAGGAACUCUGCAAAAUAGCACCGUAUCUUCGGUAUAAGGUGUGGUUAGCUUCGUACUAGGAUUUACUCCGAAAGCGAAGAAACUUACAACAAAGAGUCCCUCCCGACUGUUUACCAAAAACACAGCACUCUGCUAACUCGUAAGAGGAUGUAUAGGGUGUGACGCCUGCCCGGUGCUCGAAGGUUAAUUGAUGGGGUUAGCAUUAGCGAAGCUCUUGAUCGAAGCCCGAGUAAACGGCGGCCGUAACUAUAACGGUCCUAAGGUAGCGAAAUUCCUUGUCGGUUAAAUACCGACCUGCAUGAAUGGCGUAACGAGAUGGGAGCUGUCUCAAAGAGGGAUCCAGUGAAAUUGUAGUGGAGGUGAAAAUUCCUCCUACCCGCGGCAAGACGGAGAGACCCCGUGGACCUUUACUACAGCUUGACACUGCUACUUGGAUAAGAAUGUGCAGGAUAGGUGGGAGGCUUUGAGUAUAUGACGCCAGUUGUAUAUGAGCCAUUGUUGAGAUACCACUCUUUCUUAUUUGGGUAGCUAACCAGCUUGAGUUAUCCUCAAGUGGGACAAUGUCUGGUGGGUAGUUUGACUGGGGCGGUCGCCUCCCAAAUAAUAACGGAGGCUUACAAAGGUUGGCUCAGAACGGUUGGAAAUCGUUCGUAGAGUAUAAAGGUAUAAGCCAGCUUAACUGCAAGACAUACAAGUCAAGCAGAGACGAAAGUCGGUCUUAGUGAUCCGGUGGUUCUGUGUGGAAGGGCCAUCGCUCAAAGGAUAAAAGGUACCCCGGGGAUAACAGGCUGAUCUCCCCCAAGAGCUCACAUCGACGGGGAGGUUUGGCACCUCGAUGUCGGCUCAUCGCAUCCUGGGGCUGGAGCAGGUCCCAAGGGUAUGGCUGUUCGCCAUUUAAAGCGGUACGCGAGCUGGGUUCAGAACGUCGUGAGACAGUUCGGUCCCUAUCUGCCGUGGGCGUAAGAAGAUUGAAGAGAUUUGACCCUAGUACGAGAGGACCGGGUUGAACAAACCACUGGUGUAGCUGUUGUUCUGCCAAGAGCAUCGCAGCGUAGCUAAGUUUGGAAAGGAUAAACGCUGAAAGCAUCUAAGCGUGAAGCCAACUCUAAGAUGAAUCUUCUCUAAGCUCUCUAGAAGACUACUAGUUUGAUAGGCUGGGUGUGUAAUGGAUGAAAGUCCUUUAGCUGACCAGUACUA
RNAcentral lists this ribosomal RNA (3041 nucleotides) under Campylobacter jejuni. Its description in RNAcentral is "partial 23S ribosomal RNA". It matches the Rfam family "Bacterial large subunit ribosomal RNA". The record is from RNAcentral. Lineage: Bacteria; Pseudomonadati; Campylobacterota; Epsilonproteobacteria; Campylobacterales; Campylobacteraceae.